AGCGUAAUCACUUGUUCUUUAAAUGAGGACUAGUAUGAAUGGCCCCACGAGGGCUGCACUGUCUCCUUUUUCUAAUCAAUGAAACUAAUCUCCCCGUGAAGAAGCGGGGAUAAUUCUAUAAGACGAGAAGACCCUAUGGAGCUUUAAACAACUGAAACACUUGCUUUUCCAUUGACCUCUUCCGAGUUCUUUACUUCACUCAAGCAUUUUUAUUUCUAAUUUUAGGUUGGGGUGACCACGGAGCAAAACUAAACCUCCACGAAGAAAUGAAUACUUUUUAAGCCACAAACUACUUUUUUAAGCAUCAACAAAUUGACCUUCAUUGACCCAAUAUAUUGAUCAACGAACCAAGUUACCCUAGGGAUAACAGCGCAAUCUACUUCAAGAGCUCGUAUCGACAAGUAGGUUUACGACCUCGAUGUUGGAUCAGGGUAUCCUAGUGGG
RNAcentral lists this ribosomal RNA (444 nucleotides) under Ameerega bassleri (pleasing poison frog). Its description in RNAcentral is "partial 16S ribosomal RNA". It matches the Rfam family "Bacterial large subunit ribosomal RNA", at positions 1958 to 2554 of the family's 2925-position model. The record is from RNAcentral. Lineage: Eukaryota; Metazoa; Chordata; Amphibia; Anura; Dendrobatidae.